Molecule: long non-coding RNA, 520 nt
Filed under: Populus trichocarpa (black cottonwood)
Lineage: Eukaryota; Viridiplantae; Streptophyta; Magnoliopsida; Malpighiales; Salicaceae
Description: long non-coding RNA (PTRI_LNC000619)
Source: RNAcentral
GCUUUGCUUAGCUUCGAGCUUGCUAACGGAGCGGACUUUUGGAGCCUCCCGACCUUGGGGUUGAUAAUGACACCUUGAUGUUCUACCUUUCUGGCCAUGGGGGCAUCGACUUUAUGUAUCUGGUGUUACUGUUCAUAACUGAUCUCUCUCUCUCUCUCUCUCUCAUCAUGGGCUUACGAAUCUCUCUCUCUCUCUCUCUAGGAUAGGUAAUUGAGAGGGCAUGUGAUCUCUCGCAAGUUGGCCCUGGGCGGGGCAGAUGUGCUCACUCCAUUAAAGCUCAAACUCCUCGGCCAACUUACCUAGACAACGAGGGUUAAUUUCAAGGAUGACUUUUUUGAAGCUUCAUUGGAAGAGAAUUCAAGGUUAUCAUUUUUGCUUGGUGAGCACAUUUUCGCUUGUGUUUGCCCUCAUAAAAGACAAAGUCAGACACAAAUUGCUACCACCUUCCCGGUUUGAACCAAUCAAAAUGUCUAAGGGUAAGUAAAUAUCUUGGUGGCCCCUCGUCCUUUUUCUACCUGCA